RNAcentral lists this ribosomal RNA (440 nucleotides) under uncultured bacterium. RNAcentral's name for it is "bacterial SSU rRNA". It matches the Rfam family "Bacterial small subunit ribosomal RNA", at positions 339 to 796 of the family's 1533-position model. The record is from RNAcentral.
CUACGGGAGGCAGCAGUGGGGAAUAUUGGACAAUGGGCGCAAGCCUGAUCUAGCCAUGCCGCGUGAGUGACGAAGGCCCUAGGGUCGUAAAGCUCUUUCAACGGUGAAGAUAAUGACGGUAGCCGUAGAAGAAACCCCGGCUAACUCCGUGCCAGCAGCCGCGGUAAUACGGAGGGGGUUAGCGUUGUUCGGAAUUACUGGGCGUAAAGCGCGCGUAGGCGGAUUGGAAAGUUGGGGGUGAAAUCCCGGGGCUCAACCCCGGAACUGCCUUCAAAACUACCAGUCUAGAGUUCGAGAGAGGUGAGCGGAAUUCCGAGUGUAGAGGUGAAAUUCGUAGAUAUUCGGAGGAACACCAGUGGCGAAGGCGGCUCACUGGCUCGAUACUGACGCUGAGGUGCGAAAGUGUGGGGAGCAAACAGGAUUAGAAACCCUGGUAGUCC